UGCGUAGGUGGUCGGGUAAGUCUGAUGUGAAAGCUCGGAGCCUAACUCCGAAAUGGCAUUGGAUACUAUCCGGCUUGAGGAUUGGAGGGGAGACUGGAAUUCUCGGUGUAGCAGUGAAAUGCGUAGAUAUCGAGAGGAACACCAGUGGCGAAGGCGAGUCUCUAGACAAUUCCUGACACUGAGGCACGAAAGCUAGGGGAGCAAACAGGAUUAGAUACCCUGGUAGUCCUAGCCGUAAACGGUGCGUAUUUGCUGUAAAAGGAAUCGACCCCUUUUGUGGCGGAGCUAACGCGUUAAAUACGCCGCCUGGGAAGUACGGUCGCAAGAUUAAA
RNAcentral lists this ribosomal RNA (332 nucleotides) under uncultured bacterium. Its description in RNAcentral is "bacterial SSU rRNA". It matches the Rfam family "Bacterial small subunit ribosomal RNA", at positions 568 to 898 of the family's 1533-position model. The record is from RNAcentral.